GAUUUCUGGUUAAGUAACGCUAGCCCGCCCUUGCCAGGGGUGUGCGCUGGUUAGUUGCUUGCCAUCUUUCUAGAAAGCCAGCGUUUGUCAUUCACUUGGCGGACGUGACGCGAUCUAGAUCUUUUACUUUGAAAAAAUUAGAGUGUUUAAAGCAGGCUUACGCUAUGAAUACAUUAGCAUGGAAUAAUAAGAUAGGGCUCCGGCUCAUAUUUUGUUGGUUUCUAGAGCGUGGGAGUAAUGAUUGAUAGGGACAGUUGGGGGUGCUAGUAUUCAGCGGCCAGAGGUGAAAUUCAUGGAUUCGCUGAAGACUGACUUAUGCGAAAGCAUU
Molecule: ribosomal RNA, 328 nt
Filed under: uncultured Euglyphida
Lineage: Eukaryota; Cercozoa; Imbricatea; Euglyphida
Description: SSU rRNA
Rfam family: Eukaryotic small subunit ribosomal RNA (bases 113-328)
Source: RNAcentral